This 253-nucleotide ribosomal RNA is filed under the name uncultured bacterium. RNAcentral's name for it is "partial 16S ribosomal RNA". It matches the Rfam family "Bacterial small subunit ribosomal RNA", at positions 524 to 776 of the family's 1533-position model. The record is from RNAcentral.
UACGAAGGGGGCGAGCGUUGUUCGGAUUUACUGGGCGUAAAGGGCGCGCAGGCGGCUCAUUUUGUCAGGCGUGAAAGCCCCGGGCUUAACCUGGGAACUGCGUUUGAUACGGAUGGGCUAGAGUUCGGGAGAGGAGAGUGGAAUUCCCAGUGUAGAGGUGAAAUUCGUAGAUAUUGGGAAGAACACCGGUGGCGAAAGCGGCGUACUGGGGCUUAACUGACGCUGAGGCACGAAAGCCAGGGGAGCGAACGGG